This 71-nucleotide transfer RNA is filed under the name Trigonopoma gracile (blackstripe rasbora). RNAcentral's name for it is "tRNA-Ser". It matches the Rfam family "tRNA". From Rfam's summary of the family: Transfer RNA (tRNA) molecules are approximately 80 nucleotides in length. Their secondary structure includes four short double-helical elements and three loops (D, anti-codon, and T loops). Further hydrogen bonds mediate the characteristic L-shaped molecular structure. tRNAs have two regions of fundamental functional importance: the anti-codon, which is responsible for specific mRNA codon recognition, and the 3' end, to which the tRNAs corresponding amino acid is attached (by aminoacyl-tRNA synthetases). tRNAs cope with the degeneracy of the genetic code in two manners: having more than one tRNA (with a specific anti-codon) for a particular amino acid; and 'wobble' base-pairing, i.e. permitting non-standard base-pairing at the 3rd anti-codon position. Lineage: Eukaryota; Metazoa; Chordata; Actinopteri; Cypriniformes; Danionidae. The record is from RNAcentral.
AAGAAGGUGGCAGAGUGGUUAUGUGGUCGGCUUGAAACCGGAAUAUGGAGGUUCAAUUCCUCCCCUUCUCG